GCCUGGGUUUGGACUGAUGGCAGCCCAUCUCCCUGUGUCUCUCAUAGUGCCCAUGCCAGAGCAGACUGUGGCCUUGAACCAUUGCCUGGCCUCUGCCUGUAGGCUGCAGGCACUGAAGCAGAAUACACAGUG
Molecule: small nucleolar RNA, 132 nt
Organism: Pipistrellus kuhlii (Kuhl's pipistrelle)
Lineage: Eukaryota; Metazoa; Chordata; Mammalia; Chiroptera; Vespertilionidae
Product: small nucleolar RNA SNORA42/SNORA80 family
Exons: 1
Source: RefSeq, a predicted model, not a curated record